CCUGUAGUCCCUGAUCACAAGGAGCUUAAGCCAGCUACCCACAUCCAGACUCCAAUCAAAAUGGAAGGCUUGGGAGCAGUUAAAGGGCCUACUCCAGUAUGAACUGAAGUUAAUGAGACUCUUUCCAUUUACUUUAAUGGGCUUUGGAUUAGGCCUUUUGGGAGGAAUCCAGACAGUUCUGCGGUGGGGGUGUUAUGGAGCCACCUCACAGCAGAGGGAGCACUGGGAGUGAGGAUGCUUCAGUGAGCUCUCUGAUACCAAGCAGGACUGUGCAGGAUGCCGUGUCAGUUGGGACAGUGCAACCUGCUCUCCUUGAUGUGCCAGAUUAUCUCAGAAAGACUGUUCAGAAGAAGAGGGAGGUGGCGUCACCUCUCUGGAAUGACAUGUCUUGGGGAUUGGAGGAGGCAUGUGCAGGGGACUGUAAUUGUGACUGGCCUUAGCAUGGAGCAUGCAAGUGGGAAGGCAGCUCCUGGCACAUUCUCUUAACUCCUCUCCUAGGUUAAGAUCACAAGCAAGACAGGAGAGGAGUGACGUGGAAGCAAAUAAGCCUGUAUGAGAGCUCUAACUCAGUGUGUGUGGUGACUACUUAUGAGCAGUUACUACUGAUAGCCCACACUGUACACAUGGCUGAUUAUCAGAGGAAAUACACUAGCUCUGAAUUAUAAGUGAAAAAUAUACUGCCUUAUUUAUAUAGACUAAAACAGCCUUUUAAGAUUCUUUGUUUUACAGGUCAAACCGUUUAAACUUGUAUGUUACUCACAAAAGCAUGUUAAAAAAGAAGCCUUGAGUAUGUUAGAAGACAGGAGGGGCAGUACUGAUCUCAGUUACACCGUGUAAAUCUGGAGUAACUUCACUGAAAUCAGAGAUCAGAAUCUACCCAAGAAACUCACAAUGAAGUGUAAGGCCGAAGUUCUUCUGAGCCACCCUGCAGUUGAUCCCAGCACGAUUGUCUCAAAUGAAAUUAGCAAUUUGGGCACAGACUUUUUACACAUCAUUGAGAAUAAAAUGCAAAUCAUAGAGCAUUGACAGAAAUUUCAAUGCAAAUAUACUUGUUAAUUCUGAGGAAACGGACACCAUGAGCCUAAUACCAGUCCCACUGAAGUCAAUGGAAAUUUUACUCCAUAACCCUGGGAAUCUAUACUCACAGGACAUUGUUUUUGUUUAGAAGUUUAUACUGAUAAAUCUAGUUUGACACCAACAAGUAUUUUACUAAGCGGACAGGAAAUAAAAAUCAAUAGCGAUAACUCUGCUAACACAUCCUCUGAUCAUUUUUAUUUAAACCCCAAUUGUUCUAACUAUUAUGGAUUAUGAACUUUUGAAAUGUGACAGUAACCAUUUUAGUUUGUGUAGUGUACUUAGUUAGAAAAGCAGCAAAAAGCAGCAGAAAAGAAAUUAUAAAACCUUUGGUCAUCUGUAGAACUUCACACCAAUUCAUUAUGGCAUCCAAACCCACACAGAACUAACUUGGUUGUGUGUUUCAUUAUAAAAUCAAAACCCAGACUAUGUUCAUAAUUGUCAUAAAACUUUUGAAGUAAACCUGGACUGACAUAUGGUUUUGCAUUUGAGCCAGCAACCAUUCAUCCAAGUGCUAUGACUGAAGGUGCCAAAAGGUGCUGAUAGAUCCAAUAGUGUCACCACAGAGUUCCACCCUCUGUCAAUGACGAUAAGAAGAUCGUCCAGCAGUGCUACUAGAGCCAAAUCCAUGCCAUGUGCCAGACUAAAUUCUUAGUAUGCGGGGUCCAGGAUAUUGGUAGAGAUCAGUUUCUCAAUACUAGUUUUUCAGUGACAUUGCCCAAGAAAAGGAC
Long non-coding RNA from Mauremys mutica (yellowpond turtle), 1805 nucleotides. RefSeq lists it as uncharacterized. The record is from RefSeq and is a predicted model, not a curated record. The transcript has 3 exons. Lineage: Eukaryota; Metazoa; Chordata; Testudines; Geoemydidae.